This is a long non-coding RNA of Octopus sinensis (East Asian common octopus), 103 nucleotides long. RefSeq lists it as uncharacterized. Lineage: Eukaryota; Metazoa; Mollusca; Cephalopoda; Octopoda; Octopodidae. The record is from RefSeq and is a predicted model, not a curated record. The transcript has 3 exons.
UCUUGCAGCACCAAAUGUAACUAGCAUAGCUGUUACUCCAUCAGAGGUAACUGGUACUAUACGCCCUCACACUGGGAUAACUGGUUCAACAGGGCCUAAAACU